GCCCCCAUCGUCUAGAGGCCUAGGACACCUCCCUUUCACGGAGGAGACGGGGAUUCGAAUUCCCCUGGGGGUA
This 73-nucleotide transfer RNA is filed under the name Microglena monadina. Its description in RNAcentral is "tRNA-Glu". It matches the Rfam family "tRNA". Rfam says of the family: Transfer RNA (tRNA) molecules are approximately 80 nucleotides in length. Their secondary structure includes four short double-helical elements and three loops (D, anti-codon, and T loops). Lineage: Eukaryota; Viridiplantae; Chlorophyta; Chlorophyceae; Chlamydomonadales; Chlamydomonadaceae. The record is from RNAcentral. RNAcentral also lists the same sequence under 1 other name.